Non-coding RNA from Pelobates cultripes (western spadefoot toad), 214 nucleotides. The record is from the annotation of a GenBank genome assembly. Lineage: Eukaryota; Metazoa; Chordata; Amphibia; Anura; Pelobatidae.
CCAUGUUAUGCCUCUAACCAGUUAGUGGCGUCCUAGGGGACUUCUCCUGUUAAAUACAACUAGCAUGUUACCAUCACUUUAUCUAAAAAUGGAGCAAAAUGCUUAGUUCGCUUAGCUUGCCUACCCUUAAUAUAAAAUGUGCAGUUUUUCUCAUGUGCCAUGACAAUGUAACCAUGUGUAUCUACCUAAAAAUGCUUGUCUAUGCUGUCCUGAC